This 73-nucleotide transfer RNA is filed under the name Ixodes scapularis (black-legged tick). RNAcentral describes it as "tRNA-Ala for anticodon AGC". It matches the Rfam family "tRNA". From Rfam's summary of the family: Transfer RNA (tRNA) molecules are approximately 80 nucleotides in length. Their secondary structure includes four short double-helical elements and three loops (D, anti-codon, and T loops). Lineage: Eukaryota; Metazoa; Arthropoda; Arachnida; Ixodida; Ixodidae. The record is from RNAcentral.
GGGGGUGUAGCUCAGAUGGGAGAGCGCUCGCUUAGCAUGCGAGAGGUACUGGGAUCGAUAAACAGCACCUCCA